RNAcentral lists this non-coding RNA (30 nucleotides) under Mus musculus (house mouse). The record is from RNAcentral. Lineage: Eukaryota; Metazoa; Chordata; Mammalia; Rodentia; Muridae.
UGAUGUUUUGAGGCUGUCUAUGAACACUUU